AUGGAAAAAAUCAAAUAUGCAUUGUCCAGUACACGAAGGCAGAGAAUCCUAGGCAUUUGUGGGAAUUUUCAUCUUGUGCAGGAAAGAGUUACUGGGGUAGGUUUCUGCAGCUGGAGGAUUAACCAAGUGAGCCAUGGUGCCGGCCCCCAUAUUGGACUUUUAAUAUACAUGAUUGUAAGGAUGUGUUUCUGAGGGAACCUAGACCAAGAUACAAGGCUCAAAGAACCAAGGUACCAAGCUAACAUCCCAAAGCUCAUUAGUGGUAGAGUUUUUGAGAUAUAAAGCAAUUAUUCUUUUCAGUUGGCAGAUAGAAAUAAACUAAUUUAAGUAACAAAAAAGUAUACA
Molecule: long non-coding RNA, 345 nt
Filed under: Oryctolagus cuniculus (rabbit)
Lineage: Eukaryota; Metazoa; Chordata; Mammalia; Lagomorpha; Leporidae
Description: lncRNA (ENSOCUG00000035193.1)
Source: RNAcentral